This 253-nucleotide ribosomal RNA is filed under the name uncultured bacterium. Its description in RNAcentral is "partial 16S ribosomal RNA". It matches the Rfam family "Bacterial small subunit ribosomal RNA", at positions 524 to 776 of the family's 1533-position model. The record is from RNAcentral.
UACGUAGGGUGCAAGCGUUAAUCGGAAUUACUGGGCGUAAAGCGUGCGCAGGCGGUUUUGUAAGACAGAGGUGAAAUCCCCGGGCUCAACCUGGGAACUGCCUUUGUGACUGCAAGGCUUGAGUGCGGCAGAGGGGGAUGGAAUUCCGCGUGUAGCAGUGAAAUGCGUAGAUAUGCGGAGGAAUACCGAUGGCGAAGGCAGCCCCCUGGGAUAACACUGACGCUCAUGCACGAAAGCGUGGGGAGCAAACAGG